This 1016-nucleotide ribosomal RNA is filed under the name Klebsiella sp. K8. RNAcentral describes it as "bacterial SSU rRNA". It matches the Rfam family "Bacterial small subunit ribosomal RNA", at positions 198 to 1359 of the family's 1533-position model. RNAcentral also lists the same sequence under 1 other name. The record is from RNAcentral. Lineage: Bacteria; Pseudomonadati; Pseudomonadota; Gammaproteobacteria; Enterobacterales; Enterobacteriaceae.
AGACCAAAGUGGGGGACCUUCGGGCCUCAUGCCAUCAGAUGUGCCCAGAUGGGAUUAGCUAGUAGGUGGGGUAACGGCUCACCUAGGCGACGAUCCCUAGCUGGUCUGAGAGGAUGACCAGCCACACUGGAACUGAGACACGGUCCAGACUCCUACGGGAGGCAGCAGUGGGGAAUAUUGCACAAUGGGCGCAAGCCUGAUGCAGCCAUGCCGCGUGUGUGAAGAAGGCCUUCGGGUUGUAAAGCACUUUCAGCGGGGAGGAAGGCGUUAAGGUUAAUAACCUUGUCGAUUGACGUUACCCGCAGAAGAAGCACCGGCUAACUCCGUGCCAGCAGCCGCGGUAAUACGGAGGGUGCAAGCGUUAAUCGGAAUUACUGGGCGUAAAGCGCACGCAGGCGGUCUGUCAAGUCGGAUGUGAAAUCCCCGGGCUCAACCUGGGAACUGCAUUCGAAACUGGCAGGCUAGAGUCUUGUAGAGGGGGGUAGAAUUCCAGGUGUAGCGGUGAAAUGCGUAGACGUUAAAUCGACCGCCUGGGGAGUACGGCCGCAAGGUUAAAACUCAAAUGAAUUGACGGGGGCCCGCACAAGCGGUGGAGCAUGUGGUUUAAUUCGAUGCAACGCGAAGAACCUUACCUGGUCUUGACAUCCACAGAACUUUCCAGAGAUGGAUUGGUGCCUUCGGGAACUGUGAGACAGGUGCUGCAUGGCUGUCGUCAGCUCGUGUUGUGAAAUGUUGGGUUAAGUCCCGCAACGAGCGCAACCCUUAUCCUUUGUUGCCAGCGGUUAGGCCGGGAACUCAAAGGAGACUGCCAGUGAUAAACUGGAGGAAGGUGGGGAUGACGUCAAGUCAUCAUGGCCCUUACGACCAGGGCUACACACGUGCUACAAUGGCAUAUACAAAGAGAAGCGACCUCGCGAGAGCAAGCGGACCUCAUAAAGUAUGUCGUAGUCCGGAUUGGAGUCUGCAACUCGACUCCAUGAAGUCGGAAUCGCUAGUAAUCGUAGAUCAGAAUGCUA